ACCUGGGAAGGCGACAUUGGGGUGUGGGUCAUUCCGAGCCUCGACCCUCCACGGCGGGAGGCUGCGGCUGCCGUCGGGGCCGUGCUCCGGUGCUCUCCCUGGGGCUGGUAGCGGACCAAGGUUCAGCCACCAGCUUGCCAUAUGUUCUCCGGCACUGCACCGUCUCCUGCCUCAGUUUCCUAAUCUGUCAGAGGGACAUAAGCCCUGCCUGACGUAACCCCACCCCCACCCCCGCUGCUGUCCAGAGAGGUAGAUUAAAGAGGGUUGUGCUGGCAACGGGACUCCCGGGCCUCCUUCCCACCUCCAAUGGCCCCCUCCAAUCCAGUUUCCCACCACUCACCCCCAGCUUCCACCAUCCCAGCCUCAGUUUCCCCACAAAACAGCCUGGAUUUCCUAGUACCAGACCAUGCUUGAGCUCCAGCCACUCACAGCGACAGCUUGUGAAGCAGAUGAGCAGGAGGUGGAAGGCGAGGAAAGUUUCAAGGGCGCACUGGGACAGGUCAAGCUGAGGCCUCCUCUGCUCAGGGCUUUCCUUUCGGGGCUUAUAUCCCCGCCUGGAAAGGAAAGGGAGUCCCACGGGGAGGGGGAGCCAGCAGGGGGUGCGCCCUUCUUCCUCCUUCCACCCGCACCAGAUCCUUGAGCUUACGCUCAGCCACUGUGUGACGUCUCCACCUCAUAGGAGCUCAGGGGGCAGCUGCCAUGCUCAGAUUUGGGGUCCCACUGGAUGGGGUACCUAGCCUGAACCCUGUGUUCAGCCCACAGCCCCGCAGGGGCAGGUCCAGCCUCCUGAGGAAGUGAAGUGGUUGGAUUAGACUCCUGGGGCAGCCCCUAGGACCAGGAAUGAGAUUCUGUCUUCCCUAGCCAGUCCAUGGUGGGAGUGGGGGGUGGGAGGGUAGACACAUUUCUUCCAGCCUGUGGGAUCUGUGACCACUCUUUCCAAAACACAACUCUUUUCAGCCUCUGCUCAGUAAUACCUUGGAGAAGGGCUGAGGAGUGACAGGACCUCUGGGGGAAAGUCUUUCUCCUGGAGGCAGGGGUGGGAGCACCUGACCUUGGGCUCCUGGCCUGCAGUUUAUGAUAUCCUGGGGGAGAGGCCUCUCUGAACACUCCGUUAUGUUCUCUCUCCAUUAAAGAGUUGGGAAAAGAGGCAGGAGGAGGCAGAAGCCAGUCCCCCAACCAGAAGCAGCUGAGUCAGCUACCUGUGUAUCCAGCCUGGCACACAAAGACCCUGGUCCAGCCAUGUGUGGCAUAGAGCCCUCUCCCCAGGCAAUGUCCCCACCCCUAUGCAGGUGUCAAUCAGGGCACUGGUGUCUUCUGGGCCUGAGUGAUGCCAAGCCUUCCCAAGCACAUGCCACUGUCCCCAGCCCAUGGCAGUCUCCACUGGGCUCUGAAGCCCAGAUCCUUUGAAGGAAAGGACUCAUGUUUAUUAAGCACCUACUGUGCACCGGGUAGUACAUAAUUUCGGACAUCACAAAACAAUGAGCUGAGUUUAUCUCCAUUUUCCAGAUGAGGAAAUUGAAGCCCUGAUGAAGCAGCCAAAGUCACCCAUGAUUCAAACAGGAAAAGGAGGGUGAGGCAGACCCCAGGAAGAGGACCUCUCAAUUGUGAGGGGCAGAAAGCCUCAGCACCUGGAGUAGCCAUGUGGUGCCGGAGGCAGGCCUGGGAGCAGGGACCGGAAGCCUAAGUCUGGGGCCCACCACCCACUAUGAGAGGCUGAGUAGGGGAAGGGCCUCCAGAAUGCCAACCCCCUCAAACCCACCUGCCCAGUAGGAGAGAGGGCUGUGGGAAGGUCUCUCCAUAAAGCCCUUCCAGCUUCCUCUCCCUGGCCUGGCCAGACCUCCAGUACUUCCAGAUGUCCCAUCAACCCAUGGGGGCUGAAGGGGCCAACUUGUCCAGGCCGCUGGUUCUGAGCCAGCCCCUCCAGCCCCAGGACAGAUGGCUGUGGGUGCUAUUUUUAGAGCUCUCCUGAGAGGGAGAGUUC
Molecule: long non-coding RNA, 1981 nt
Filed under: Homo sapiens (human)
Lineage: Eukaryota; Metazoa; Chordata; Mammalia; Primates; Hominidae
Description: non-protein coding lnc-IFT20-10:1
Source: RNAcentral